ACGUCUGCCGCCAGGCCCAGGCCAAGCACGCUCGGAGACAGAUCCAUCGUCCGUCCAUCCACCACAGGCAUGACAGGACAGGGGUCGACAUUGUUUUGGCGUCGCUGUUGGCCAGACAAACAGACCGCGACCGCUCCCGUGUGUACGGGGGGGACUGAGCACCGAGCGCUCGAUGGAUGAUGCUGACGGCCGGCACCGUCGCCGUCGCCGGCUCCCGUCGCUGUGGAGCGGAGCAGGGACGGGCCUGCCUCCCCGAAUGUAGGAGCGGCAGAGCGGUCACAGUUGCUUAACCCGACAAUUCUUAACAAAAAAAGAAGCUAUUUAACAUGACAGCGCCCGCGUUCUGCUACAGAUAGUGAGACACACUACCAGCUGGGUUCAGACUCCAGGAGUUGGGUGCAGAAUUGCCGAUCAGGCAUCGGAUCUUACCAGCGUUCCGUGAAGAUAGAUUACACUACGCAUACAGAUUAACGCCGUACCCACCACACGUCUAUACCAAUAAACCAUGAGGCGCGCGUCUACGUGCUAUUCGUCGGUGUCGCGAGUUUUUGGGACUGAAACCCGGUGUUUUGGUGUUGUCUGAAACUUUCGACAGACAUCACAGGACAGCAAGGCAAAGACAGUGGACUACUCACUACAGUGGCAUUUGUUCUCCAUGCCGGCCUGCUCAGAUCUGCCGCGUCAGUGGGAGUGGGCCAGACCACCGUCCUGGUUCCAAGGCAAGAUCACGAAUGCAAAACGAGAAAGGCUUGCUUGCUUUUCACGGGUGACCGCUUUGAGGAGCCAAUGCGCAGCGGCCUGAUCACCGGCCGGGGCAGAAGAAUACUUUC
This 830-nucleotide long non-coding RNA is filed under the name Hordeum vulgare. RNAcentral describes it as "long non-coding RNA (HVUL_LNC013662)". Lineage: Eukaryota; Viridiplantae; Streptophyta; Magnoliopsida; Poales; Poaceae. The record is from RNAcentral.